Molecule: long non-coding RNA, 498 nt
Filed under: Mustela putorius furo (domestic ferret)
Lineage: Eukaryota; Metazoa; Chordata; Mammalia; Carnivora; Mustelidae
Description: lncRNA (ENSMPUG00000028055.1)
Source: RNAcentral
AAGCACAAGUAAAGAGCUGGUCUUCCUACCCUGAUAAUUCCAAGUCCUCUCUCCCAGUGCCCAUCUUUAUUCUUCAGGGUUCUUUACUCUGUGUGCCGUGGACACAGCUGCCAAGGAAAACUCGAGAGAGGGAAAGAAGAGUUGCCCGUUUCUCCGUGCUCUUUGUCUGUUUACACCACAGAAGUCAAGGAACUAAAACCACGUGAUAACUCCUCCUGAAAAAUGCUAAUGCCCAGAAGAGGAGAAAAAGGCCCCCAGACCCGUUGCCCGGGAUGGGGUCCCUGCCUGUAAGAUCCAGCUCAUAACACGUCUGGCUGGAAGUUUUGGAUUUUUAAUAUCAUUCCUUGCCCUGGAAGAACUCUCUGGGAGACCAUCAUUACCAUAUAAUUCUUUGGGGGAAAUGAAACAACAGCCGGCCCUGCCAAUCACCAUGGCAACACUCCUGUAAGUACACAGACUCGCAUCAACACAAAGAAUUAUAUCUCUAUGUGUAUGUUC